AGAAUCAACGCUGGCGGCGUGCUUAACACAUGCAAGUCGAGCGGAAAGGCCCUUCGGGGUACUCGAGCGGCGAACGGGUGAGUAACACGUAGAGCAACCUGCCCUUAGCUCUGGGAUAGCUCCGGGAAACCGGAAUUAAUACCGGAUACGACCUAGGCCGACAUCGGCCAUGGUGGAAAGUUUUUCGGCUAGGGAUGGACUCGCGGCCUAUCAGCUAGUUGGUGGGGUAAAGGCCUACCAAGGCGACGACGGGUA
Molecule: ribosomal RNA, 255 nt
Filed under: uncultured bacterium
Lineage: Bacteria
Description: partial small subunit ribosomal RNA
Rfam family: Bacterial small subunit ribosomal RNA
Source: RNAcentral